Molecule: long non-coding RNA, 551 nt
Organism: Ziziphus jujuba (common jujube)
Lineage: Eukaryota; Viridiplantae; Streptophyta; Magnoliopsida; Rosales; Rhamnaceae
Exons: 2
Source: RefSeq, a predicted model, not a curated record
AACGGUGCGUAUCGGUGAUUGCAGCGCUUGUGCAGAGUAAUCGAUUGCUGGUUCUUGCUGAAGCCUGCUCUGGGGGUAGUGGCCGCUUGAGAUCGCUUGCAAAGAAUCCCGUAAUCGGAAUCCUAAGUCUACCUUGCUAUCGUUAUCGAGAAUUUCGAUCUUUAUUUUGUUGAAGAUGAUAAUACAUUGAUGCAGGAAAAGUUUAAAUGGUAUAGCUUCAAUGGUGGAGAUUUGUUUUCAGUGGCUGGAUUGUGACUGGUUGGUUUCCAGCACCACGGACUUUGAUAGAGUGAUGCUGGAACAGAGGUCCAUUUGCUAAGCAUCCCUUUUGGUUAUCCUAUUAGUGUUUUUCAGCUGCUUUUAAGCUUUGAUGCAUUCGCUGCUACCCCAAAUACUCAUUCAGUAAUGUUAUGGUUUUUCUGAAUCUUUCUUGAUAACUGCUUUAAGACUGGAGUUCUUUAUCUGUCAUUUACUGCUUCCUUGGCCUAGGUUUUUCGCUUAUGUAAAUUAAAUUUGAUUCAAAGGAUUUUUAAUGGCUUACUAUGUAUGUA